This 342-nucleotide ribosomal RNA is filed under the name uncultured Anaerolineaceae bacterium. RNAcentral describes it as "bacterial SSU rRNA". It matches the Rfam family "Bacterial small subunit ribosomal RNA", at positions 1028 to 1382 of the family's 1533-position model. Lineage: Bacteria; Bacillati; Chloroflexota; Anaerolineae; Anaerolineales; Anaerolineaceae. The record is from RNAcentral.
GCUUGUACAGGUGCUGCAUGGCUGUCGUCAGCUCGUGUCGUGAGAUGUUCGGUUAAGUCCGCUAACGAGCGCAACCCUCGCUGUGUGUUACAAGUGUCACACGGAACUGCCGGUCAUAAACCGGAGGAAGGUGGGGAUGACGUCAAGUCAGCAUGGCCUUUAUAUCCUGGGCUACACACACGCUACAAUGGGAAGGGACAAUAGGUUGCGAAGCCGCGAGGCGGAGCCAAUCCAGCAAAACUUCCCUCAGUUCAGAUUGCAGGCUGCAACUCGCCUGCAUGAAGUUGGAGUUGCUAGUAAACACAGGUCAGCCAUACUGCGUUGAAUACGUUCCCGGGGCUU